AUUGAACGCUGGCGGCAGGCUUAACACAUGCAAGUCGAGCGGAGAGAGGUAGCUUGCUACUGAUCUUAGCGGCGGACGGGUGAGUAAUACUUAGGAAUCUGGCUAUUAGUGGGGGACAACAUUUCGAAAGGGAUGCUAAUACCGCAUACGUCCUACGGGAGAAAGCAGGGGAUCUUCGGACCUUGCGCUAAUAGAUGAGCCUAAGUCGGAUUAGCUAGUUGGUGGGGUAAAGGCCUACCAAGGCGACGAUCUGUAGCGGGUCUGAGAGGAUGAUCCGCCACACUGGGACUGAGACACGGCCCAGACUCCUACGGGAGGCAGCAGUGGGGAAUAUUGGACAAUGGGGGGAACCCUGAUCCAGCCAUGCCGCGUGUGUGAAGAAGGCCUUAUGGUUGUAAAGCACUUUAAGCGAGGAGGAGGGUACUGGUAUUA
This 432-nucleotide ribosomal RNA is filed under the name uncultured bacterium. RNAcentral's name for it is "bacterial SSU rRNA". It matches the Rfam family "Bacterial small subunit ribosomal RNA", at positions 30 to 462 of the family's 1533-position model. The record is from RNAcentral.